RNAcentral lists this ribosomal RNA (468 nucleotides) under uncultured bacterium. RNAcentral describes it as "partial 16S ribosomal RNA". It matches the Rfam family "Bacterial small subunit ribosomal RNA", at positions 28 to 507 of the family's 1533-position model. The record is from RNAcentral.
GACGAACGCUGGCGGCGUGCUUAACACAUGCAAGUCGAACGGAAAGGCCCUGCUUUUGUGGGGUGCUCGAGUGGCGAACGGGUGAGUAACACGUGAGUAACCUGCCCUUGACUUUGGGAUAACUUCAGGAAACUGGGGCUAAUACCGGAUAGGAGCUCCUGCUGCAUGGUGGGCGUUGGAAAGUUUCGGCGGUUGGGGAUGGACUCGCGGCUUAUCAGCUUGUUGGUGGGGUAGUGGCUUACCAAGGCUUUGACGGGUAGCCGGCCUGAGAGGGUGACCGGCCACAUUGGGACUGAGCUACGGCCCAGACUCCUACGGGAGGCAGCAGUGGGGAAUAUUGCACAAUGGGCGGAAGCCUGAUGCAGCAACGCCGCGUGCGGGAUGACGGCCUUCGGGUUGUAAACCGCUUUCGCCUGUGACGAAGCGUGAGUGACGGUAAUGGGUAAAGAAGCACCGGCUAACUACGUG